This 1772-nucleotide long non-coding RNA is filed under the name Homo sapiens (human). RNAcentral describes it as "long intergenic non-protein coding RNA 662". The record is from RNAcentral. Lineage: Eukaryota; Metazoa; Chordata; Mammalia; Primates; Hominidae.
ACCCCAGCCAGCAUGGCCGGCAGGAGCGCACCGCGCUGUCUCCCUCCAGGGAUCCGCACCGCCCUACAAUCCUGCUUUGUGCUGAGAUUGUAGUCCUGCAGGCGUACAACUAACAAGCUGGGUGCAGAUAAGAGACUACAGCUCCCCGCAUCCCAAGCAAAGGUCCCUCCUCUACGGAGCCCCUCCACGCGUCCACUGCGGUUCCGCCGUGCCAAGGGGAGCUUGGCUGUUCACGGGCCUCACCUGCUAGCGAGAAGAUAGCUUGGCCGGGCGGCUGAUCUCACCUUGUAAUUCUGACACUGUGUCUCCCGGGCUUGUCGGCUUCAUGACUUGUGCCCAAAGUUUGAUUUCUCGCAGACCAGGUAAAAGCCAAGAGGCUCUCAUAGGCGCCUUGGCAGAGUUGCCAUUGGAACGGGCGUCCUCUAGUAGCUGGGAUCUCCCCGCCCCUUCCUCCUGAGGGGCCACUCCUUUCUGCCCCACCCUUCUUAUUGCCCCACCCUUUGCCACACUCCUUCAGAGAUGCGCAGUGCUGCCCCUUUCUAUGGGCAGGGCCGAAGGUCCGCGUGUAAAAGUACCCAGUCCCUGGUAACCUGACACUUCCCUUUUAAAAGCCACCUUUUGUCUAUCUCUGGCCUGCCACGAUUCUUCCUGUGCUCCAUAGGAGGACCCAUUGGACCCCCGGGCUGGCUGCAGGGCCCACACCUGGGUUAGACCUCGCACAGGGACGCUGCUGCCACUGUAAUAAAGCGUGCCUACACGCUUCUGAAACUGGUGUAGGAACAACCUCAGUUCUGUGAAAGGCGGACGCAGCAGGACAGAAUCUCCGUGGACAUCUGUCUGGAGGAGCAAUUUUACUGCGACAUUUUAAAGAAACAAAUUUAAUUGAUUUCCAAGGGUGUCCAUCGCGCUUCCUUCACUGCCUUGAUCAUGUCGGGGUCACCACCUGCGGGGGUUUGUCCUGCAGACCCUGACUCAACGACGGAUGAAUAAUGUACACUGACACAGAUCUUAUGCUUGUCAGUCCUGCUGAGCAUCCAGGCCACUUACAGACUCCAAGAAGAGUCCUGUCAGCCACGGCUCUGACUUGUUGGCCCUCCCGGCAUUUAUUUAGCACACAUUUAAUGACAGAAGUCUCAGGUAAACACCACUAGAAGGCUGGAAACACUCUUUUUGUAGAACAUACAAAUGGACAUUUCUAAGCACAUUGAGGCCUAUAAUGAAAAAUCAAAUAUCCCACAAUGAAAACUAGAAGGAAGCUAUCUGUGAUAAUGCUUUGUGGUGUAUGGAUUCAUCUCACUGACUGAAACCUGAGUUUUGAUUCACCAGGUUGGAAACUCUUUCUGCAGAAUCUGCAAAGAAAUAUUUCUGAGCCCAUUGAGGCCUACAGUGGAAAACUGAAUAUUCUGUGAUAAAACUAGAAACACCCUAUCUGUGAAAAUGCUUUGUGAUGUGUGGAUUUUUCUCAUCGAAUGGAACCUCUGUUUUGACUCACAAGGGUGAAACACUAUUUUAGUAGAAUCUAGGAAGAAACAUAUCUGAGCCCAUUUAUGCCUACAGUGAGAAACUGAAUACCCUGCAAUAAAAAGUAGACAGAAGCUAUUUGUAAAAAUGCUUUGUGAUGUGUGGAUUCAGUGUUAAACUUUUAUUUUGAUUCCACAGUUUUGACACCCUAUUUGUAGAAUAUAUGAAUGAACAUUUCUCAGCCCAUUGAGGCCUAUCAUGUGAAACCAAAUAUUUUAUAAUAAAAACUGGAAACAAGUGAUCUGUUAAAA